AUAAAGGCAACCGAGAUCUCGAUUCCGGCAUAACACGUUUUUUUGUGCAUUAUUAUUGUUUGUUGUUACUUAAACCCUCAAAAACCAACCGAAAAAUCAAAAAUGGGCGCUGAAAAGGUAUCCAUGAACAUCGUUGUCGUCGGACAAGUCCAAUCUGAUAAGGCCGUCAAAACCGUCGCCAAAGCCAUCCCAUCCACCAACAAAUUGAUGAACUGUUAAUGUGUGUAGUUCAUCCAUCACAAACAAAAAAAAGCCAUAACCCAAACAAUUCAAUAUGUAAUUCUGAUUGAUAUUGAUAUUAAGAAAUAAA
Molecule: long non-coding RNA, 310 nt
Organism: Melanaphis sacchari
Lineage: Eukaryota; Metazoa; Arthropoda; Insecta; Hemiptera; Aphididae
Exons: 3
Source: RefSeq, a predicted model, not a curated record